Molecule: long non-coding RNA, 897 nt
Filed under: Homo sapiens (human)
Lineage: Eukaryota; Metazoa; Chordata; Mammalia; Primates; Hominidae
Description: novel transcript
Source: RNAcentral
GGGUUGGUGUUCAUCUGCUUGCAGAGGAAAGCCAGGUCCAUACCCCUGAACUUCUCAAAUAUUUCCAAUGCUCAUCACUGGGUCUUUUGCAUGGUCAAAAGGGUUGCAGGUGAUUCUUCUGUGUUGUAAAGUUGAAGAGCAGCUUAAUCCACACUUCCUUUUUGGUCUCACUUCUCCCCUUUGUUCCGGUCAAACCCUGACUGCUUCAAAAGGAAAACUGAAGAAAGAGCUCGAUGUGAGACUAGCUCAUGCGGGAGAAUUGGAGUGAUCAUUUAAAUCAGUCUCCCUGAAGGCUCAGAGGUUAGGGUUUUUAUGGACAACUUGGGUCUGACUCUGUGGCCCAGGCUGGAGCACAGUGGCAUGAUCACAGCUCACUGCGACCUCCACCUCCUGGGAUCCUCCCACCUCAGCCUCCAGAAUAGCUGAGACUACAGGCAUGCACCACCAUGUUUGGCUAAUUUUUAGGUUUUCUUUUUUUUUUAAGAGACAAAGUCUUACUAAAUUGCCUAGGCUUGUCUAGAACUCCCAGACUCAAGCAAGUCUCCUGCCUCAGUCUCCCAAAGUACUGAGAUUACAGUAUUUAUCCUGAUUGCCUACUCACUAGAGUUCUGGACCUGUUUUCCAAAGAAUUCCACAGUGGGGGCCACCUUGUACUGGCAGUUGAAAAACAGGAAAUAGACAGAGAUCAUCCAUUUCCCCUGAGUUCACUGAAACACUCCAGUAAGAAGAUUGAAAAUAGCAGACCGGGGCCGAGCGCAGUGGCUCAUGCCUGUAAUCCCAGCACUUUGGGAGGCCGAGGCAGGCUGAUCAUCUGAGGUCAGGAGUUCGAGACCAGCCUGGCCAACAUGGUGAAAUCCUGUCUCUACUAAAAAUACAUAAAAAUAAAUAUAUGUCACU